GACGAACGCUGGCGGCAUGCUUAACACAUGCAAGUCGAACGGAAACGCCCUGCUUUUGUGGGGUUCUCGAGUGGCGAACGGGUGAGUAACACGUGAGUACCCUGCCCUUGACUUUGGGAUAACUUCAGGAAACUGGGGCUAAUACCCGAUAGGAGCUCCUGCUGCAUGGGGGGGGUUGGAAAGUUUCGGCGGUUGGGGAUGGACUCGCGGCUUAUCCGCUUGUGGGUGGGGUAGUGGCUUACCAAGGCUUUGGCGGGUAGCCGGCAUGAGAGGGGGACCGCGGACCUGGGGACUGCGAGAGGCCGCAGUCUGCUAUGGUAGGCAGUAGGCGGGAGCAUUGUCCAGCGGGGCGACGUGUGUGAAAGCAGCGUUGCGGGUGUAAUGCCCGCUUGUGCGUUGAGAACCGCUUGGCCCUGUGACGGACCGUGAGUGACGGUAACGGGUAAAUAAGCACCGGCUAACUACGUG
RNAcentral lists this ribosomal RNA (468 nucleotides) under uncultured bacterium. Its description in RNAcentral is "partial 16S ribosomal RNA". It matches the Rfam family "Bacterial small subunit ribosomal RNA", at positions 28 to 507 of the family's 1533-position model. The record is from RNAcentral.